UACAGAGGGGGCGAGCGUUGUUCGGAAUUACUGGGCGUAAAGGGCGCGUAGGUGGCCUGCUAUGUCGAACGUGAAAUCCCUGGGCUCAACCCAGGAACUGCGUCCGAAACUGGCAGGCUCGAAUCCGGGAGAGGGAUGUGGAAUUCCAGGUGUAGCGGUGAAAUGCGUAGAUAUCAGGAGGAACACCAGUGGCGAAAGCGGCUCACUGGCCCGAUACUGACGCUCAUGUACGAAAGCGCGGGGAGCAAACAGG
This 253-nucleotide ribosomal RNA is filed under the name uncultured bacterium. RNAcentral describes it as "partial 16S ribosomal RNA". It matches the Rfam family "Bacterial small subunit ribosomal RNA", at positions 524 to 776 of the family's 1533-position model. The record is from RNAcentral.